AGAGUUUGAUCCUGGCUCAGGACGAACGCUGGCGGCGUGCUUAAUACAUGCAAGUCGAGCGACGAAAGGAGAAGGGGUAACCCUUCUCCCUGAAAGCGGCGAACGGGUGAGUAACACGUGGGUAACGUGCCCUGGACUCUGGGAUAACAACGGGAAACCGUUGCUAAUACCGGAUGACCCCUGCGUACCGCAUGGCAUGCAGGGCAAAGUUUUUCGGUCCAGGAUCGGCCCGCGGUGUAUCAGCUUGUUGGUGGGGUAACGGCCUACCAAGGCUUUGACGCAUAGCUGGCGUGAGAGCGCGACCAGCCACACUGGGACUGAGACACGGCCCAGACUCCUACGGGAGGCAGCAGUAGGGAAUCUUGCGCAAUGGGCGAAAGCCUGACGCAGCGACGCCGCGUGAGGGAUGACGGCCUUCGGGUUGUAAACCUCUUUCAGCAGGGACGAAGCCUUCGGGUGACGGUACCUGCAGAAGAAGGUCCGGCCAACUACGUGCCAGCAGCCGCGGUAAUACGUAGGGACCAAGCGUUGUCCGGAUUUAUUGGGCGUAAAGAGCUCGUAGGCGGCCAUUCGCGUCGGAUGUGAAAGCUCGGGGCUCAACCCUGAGAGGCCAUUCGAUACGGGAUAGCUAGAGGCAGGUAGGGGAAAGUGGAAUUCCUGGUGUAGCGGUGAAAUGCGCAGAUAUCAGGAGGAGCACCGGUGGCGAAGGCGGCUUUCUGGGCCUUGCCUGACGCUGAGGAGCGAAAGCUGGGGGAGCGAACAGGAUUAGAUACCCUAGUAGUCC
RNAcentral lists this ribosomal RNA (784 nucleotides) under uncultured bacterium. Its description in RNAcentral is "bacterial SSU rRNA". It matches the Rfam family "Bacterial small subunit ribosomal RNA", at positions 8 to 796 of the family's 1533-position model. The record is from RNAcentral.